Molecule: ribosomal RNA, 253 nt
Filed under: uncultured bacterium
Lineage: Bacteria
Description: partial 16S ribosomal RNA
Rfam family: Bacterial small subunit ribosomal RNA
Source: RNAcentral
UACGGAGGGGGCUAGCGUUGUUCGGAAUUACUGGGCGUAAAGCGCACGUAGGCGGCUUUGUAAGUUAGAGGUGAAAGCCCGGGGCUCAACCCGCGAAUUGCCUUUAAGACUGCAUCGCUAGAAUUGUGGAGAGGUAAGUGGAAUUCCGAGUGUAGAGGUGAAAUUCGUAGAUAUUCGGAAGAACACCAGUGGCGAAGGCGACUUACUGGACACAUAUUGACGCUGAGGUGCGAAAGCGUGGGGAGCAAACAGG